UCGACCUGCAAAAAGUGUAAAUUUUGUGUAAUUUUGUGUCCCGAAUGUGGGAAAACCCCUUUUGUGGCCCGAUUCCCACCACCUGCCUGUGCCACCGGCCAUCCCAUCUCUUUAUCAGCAUUCAACCAGCCAGCAUCGUCCUCGCCGGUCGAACAAAACCAGAAAACCGCGGCGAGCUUUUCAUUUCAAUUUGCUGCCAAAAAUGCCCACAGAUGUGGCAGUCGCGGAGGCGGAGGCGGAGGAGGGGCCAGGCAGCCGUUUGGUCGCUCGUUGGCCAAUUUAGUUUUAACGUUGCAGAUGCGGCUGGUGCUGGGUCUGGUGCUCCUUCUGUUAUCAUUCAAUUGGCGCCGCCCUCUGCUGCAAUUUUGAAUGCCAAGUGCAGGCAGUGGAGGUGGGAGCGUGAGGCGGCGGCACGUGAUCGUGGUCGAUAGGGAUUGAGGGACCACGGAGCGCUGGGAGUUAUCGGCCCUGCCAUCCCUCUGGGAGUAUGAUUCCCCGCCUGUGAUCUCUUCAAAAUCCGAUCGCUAGCGAUAGCUGGAAAUACCCAAAGCUGAUGCUGAAAUCAAUCUGGUCCGAAAAGAAGGAAGGAAGGAAUUCCCUAAGGAAAACAAAGGCAAAGGCUUAUAGGAAGGAUAGAAGGACACUCCAUAUCUUUCUGUGAGACUUCGGUUUCCCCCUGUAAUUGCUGCCAUCUCUAUGCCCUUCGAGUGCAUUCGAGUUCCGGAUUCCGUCAUGGGUUUAAUUGGGCGAGUGCAAUCCUCCCUACUUUCGAGACAGCCACUUGGCUUGGCCUUUGGGCUCCCCCUCACCAAAUUAGCUUGACUAACCCCUGGACAAGCAGAUGUUGACUCCCUCCCCCUCCCCUGGGACAUAUUGUCACCUCAAACACAGCAGACGAGGGCGAUGGCGAUGGCGAUGGCUGUUGACAACGACAACAGCCCGUUGGGCAUUCGUUCCGUUCCGUUCUGUCCGGGCGUCAAGUGCAUGACUAUCUGAUUGCAUUCUGUGUGAAUAGUGGAUGGAAAAGCGUUUAAAAACAUUAAACUGCGUCCGGUUACGUGCCUGGAAUUUCGAGAUCCAACAGAAAGGACCAGAAGGAGGGGUAUCCUAUCAGCUGAAUGGCCUAAUCCUAACAAAGGAGGAGGAAGAGGAGUAGGCCACAUCGCUUAUGAGUCAGCGUUUUAAAUUGCUUUCGUUGGAGCCCUGCUCCACGCCGCGAGCCAUUUCCCAUGUUGCUCAAAAGUCUGGAAAGUAAUUCUAUUAAAAACAACAAAAAUAAUGCAAGAAAAUAACUACGCUCCCGACUAAAAGAACUAACUACAUCAGCGGCCACGACGAUGGGGGGCAGUGAGGAGGGGAGAGUAGGGGCCCGGAACGUGAGCUCGAUAACAUUUUAGCUGGAUAAACAAAUUUCUUUGGCGAGUGAGCAAGAGCAAAGCAAAUAUGAAAUUCCAUUAAUUUGAUGGAUGCUUCAGGCAGAACCAAGAACCGGCAACCGGAAACCGGUAUGGAAAUAUGUGAUAGGACUUCGGCUUCGAGUACAACAUGCACCACGGGACGUAUGAUUAAUGCAAUGUCUGCCGCACUGACUGGCCGUCAAGUCAGUGUCGAGAGGACAACAAUGAAUUAAUUAAUGAAGUGCACACUACCAGGCAACCAACAGCAGUCCCAGAGCAAUGUAUUUACAUAUGUAUAUCCCCAGUAACUAUAGUUUUUAUGGUCUUUCUUCAGGCUGUCAAGAUUUCUGUGCCUCUUGAUGGAUGGUGGCUGCAGCCACAACAGGUGUCUGCCUCUGCUAUCAUUGCCGAACAGGAUACAGCCAUCAAGGAUACAGGUUUGAUAGGUUUUCCUACAACCCGGAGGUGUAUCUUGGCAAUCAUUUGGCACUAAUGACAUUGCUGUGAUGGCUAUAUCGUACGAAUGGAUGCUUUGUUUAAGAAACAAUUAUCGAAGAAGACAGAGCGUGAUAAUUGGAACCCAACAUAAGGAAGGAACGACGAACUUCGCAGUGUUGUGUCCAUCGAUUUGGCUGAGAAAACACCCGAAAGUGGAGCUGGGCCCGCAUGGAACACCGGAAAUGAUCUCCCAUCAAACGUGUCCAUUGUAGAGCCAUUGAACUAUCACUCAGGAAAAGAUAUGUGACGCCGCAAUGGGCAGAGCACCGGGAAAUGGAGGCUAAAAAGGAGGCUUCUCCUAUUCCAACACAUAGAAGACGCCCCUUUAAGUCCAGAAAUCUUUCAAAUUUAAGUCUUUAAACAAUUAAUUCCACACAAAACUCGUUACGCAUUCCAUAAUGUCCAUGAAAUUCCAUAAUCCAUUCAGCCGUUGGCCACCAUUGCAUCUGGCGGAUAAAAACUUACUUCGCGACGUCUGGAACUAUGUGGAAGGCCUUGCCCCCCCGCUCCUCCCUCUUCCUUCCGUUCCAAGUGGCAAAAAGUGUCUGCAACAUAAUCUCUCUGUUUGGGCAGGGGGCAAAAGCGAUUUCCAAGUCAUUGGGCAAGCCCAACUAUGCCAUAUAAUCGCAUGAUAUAUGCCUAAUCUCUGCUGGAAACUUCUCUCUGCAAGUGGCAGAAGGGCAAUGUGCAGGUCCGCGCUGGAGGAGAGUCAAUUUCAGCGAUUAAAUUAAGAAUGCAUAACUUGCAGGCUUAACAGGGCUUCGGGGAGCGGCGGGGGAAUGUGGAGGAGGAGCAGAAGGACUCCUGCAGCCAGAGCACGAACGGGGGCUCUGAUUUUUAUUUGCCAUUCUCUUGGCCUCAGUUUCUCUUU
RNAcentral lists this small RNA (2766 nucleotides) under Drosophila pseudoobscura pseudoobscura. Its description in RNAcentral is "GA32341". Lineage: Eukaryota; Metazoa; Arthropoda; Insecta; Diptera; Drosophilidae. The record is from RNAcentral.